UUCCAAAUAUGUUUUUUCAUUGCCAGAAUGCUCACUCAGUGACUGGAUUAGUUAUGUGUACUCUGCAUUUUUCGAAGAGGGGAAAGCUGCUAUUUUUAUCAUCUAGUAGCAUUCUGAUGACUCCUUGAUAACAUGGUUACUAUACGGAACCCCAUCUGUUUCUCUGCUGGGACCACAUCUUAGUCAUAUUUUUGUCCCUAAUGUCUGGCAUCGUGCCUGGCAUUUAGUAGGUCUUCAGUAAAUAUUUGCUGAAUAAAUGUAUGCUGAUUGAAAAAUUGCCUGCUAUUAUCAGCUCUCUGUGCAUGAUAAAUGCGUUGCCUCUCCAAAGCGAUUGUAAGCUUCUGAGCAGGAACACCAUGGUCACACAUGGUCUGUCUAACUCAGCGCCUUGUAAAUAAUAGGAAUGCCAUCCCUAAAUCCCUAGCCCCCUCCAGGAUGGCCUGUCUUCCUUGCAUCUGGGACUGUUGAAGAUUCUUAAAGAUGGAAAAAUCAUAUACAGGUUAUUGCAUAGACAUACAUUAAAAAAUGUAGUUCGUUCAUUGUAUCCCUAGUGGGCCUAUGGCCAUAAAUUAACUUGCUCCCAGGGUAGGUAGUACUCUCUUCUUCACUUCUGCUGUAAUCACAGCUGCCUUCAUUAUAGAAUCAUAGAGAAGUGAAUUAAGGUGAACUUUGAAAGAAGGAAGAGAUGCAGCUCAC
RNAcentral lists this long non-coding RNA (696 nucleotides) under Pan troglodytes (chimpanzee). RNAcentral describes it as "long non-coding RNA NONPTRT015014". Lineage: Eukaryota; Metazoa; Chordata; Mammalia; Primates; Hominidae. The record is from RNAcentral.